GGCGACGUAGCUCAGUGGUAGAGCGAGCGUCUCAUAAGCGCUAUGUCGAAGGUUCGAUUCCUUCCGUCGCCA
This 72-nucleotide transfer RNA is filed under the name Elusimicrobiota bacterium. RNAcentral describes it as "Elusimicrobia bacterium (groundwater metagenome) tRNA-Met". It matches the Rfam family "tRNA". From Rfam's summary of the family: Transfer RNA (tRNA) molecules are approximately 80 nucleotides in length. Their secondary structure includes four short double-helical elements and three loops (D, anti-codon, and T loops). The record is from RNAcentral. Lineage: Bacteria; Pseudomonadati; Elusimicrobiota.